Molecule: ribosomal RNA, 440 nt
Filed under: uncultured bacterium
Lineage: Bacteria
Description: bacterial SSU rRNA
Rfam family: Bacterial small subunit ribosomal RNA
Source: RNAcentral
AACGCGAAGAACCUUACCUGGGCUCGAAAUGCUAUGGACCGGGGUAGAAAUAUCCCUUCCCCGCAAGGGGCCGUAGUAUAGGUGCUGCAUGGCUGUCGUCAGCUCGUGUCGUGAGAUGUUGGGUUAAGUCCCGCAACGAGCGCAACCCUUACCCCCAGUUGCCAUCAUUUAGUUGGGCACUCUGGUGGAACCGCCUCGGAUAACGGGGAGGAAGGUGGGGAUGACGUCAAGUCAGCACGGCCUUUAUGUCCAGGGCUACACACGUGUUACAAUGCACGGUACAGACUGUUGCGAACCCGCGAGGGGGAGCUAAUCGGAUAAAACCGUGCUCAGUUCGGAUUGCAGUCUGCAACUCGGCUGCAUGAAGCUGGAAUCGCUAGUAAUGGCGUAUCAGAUCGACGCCGUGAAUACGGUUCCCGGGCCUUGUACACACCGGAGUA